AAAAGCGAAUAAGGGCGCACGGAGGAUGCCUAGACAACAAGAGCCGAAGAAGGACGUGAUAAGCUGCGAAAAGCUAGGACGAGUUGCACAUUAGCGUUGACUCCUAGAUAUCCGAAUGGGAAAACCUAUAUACUUGAAGAGUAUAUACGAAAGAGGUAAGUGGGCGAACUGAAACAUCUAAGUAGCCUGAGGAAAAUAAAGUAAAAACGAUUCUCUAAGUAGCGGCGAGCGAACGGGGAAGAGCCUAAACCAUGGUAGUGUUAAAGUUGGCACGUUGCUAUUAUGGGGUAGAGGGAUAGUUGAUUGACGGAUAGCCAUGAAGUCGACAAAUUAAAUGACGUAAGAGGAACACAACUGGAAAGUUGGACCGAAGAAGGUGAUAGUCCUGUAGAUUGUAAAAUCAUUUAAAUGUUUUAACUAAUCCCGAGUAGUAUCGGACACGAGGAAUCCGGUGUGAAUCAGCGAGGACCAUAUCUCGUAAGGCUAAAUACUCUUGUUGAUCGAUAGAGAAUAGUACCGUGAGGGAAAGGUGAAAAGAACCCUGAGUAAGGGAGUGAAAUAGAACCUGAAACCGUGUGCUUACAAACGGUAGGAGCCCUUAGGGGUGACUGCGUGGAUUUUGGUUAAUCAUCCUGCGAGUUAUGAUGUGUGGCAAGGUUAAGUAAACGGAGCCGAAGGGAAACCGAGUCUUAAUAGGGCGAUAAGUCGCAUGUCAUAGACGCGAAACCUAGUGAUCUAGGCCUGUCCAGGUUGAAGCUGGGGUAAGACCCAGUGGAGGACCGAACUCACCACCGUUGAAAAGUUGGGAGAUGAGAUAGGUUUAGGGGUGAAAAGCCAAUCGAACUAGGAGAUAGCUCGUUCUCUCCGAAAUGCAUUUAGGUGCAGCCUUAAUAAAGAUAUAUGGGGGUAGAGCUCUGUAUGGCCUAGGGGGCGUAUAGCUUACCGAAGUCAAGCAAACUGCGAAUACCAUAUAUUAAUUAUUAGGAGUGAGUCCAUGGAUGACAAGGUCCAUGGACGAGAGGGAAACAGCCCAGACCAUCAGCUAAGGUCCCAAAUUAUGUCUAAGUGGGGAAGGAGGUGGAUACUCACAAACAACCAGGAGGUUGGCUUAGAAGCAGCCAUACCUUUAAAGAGUGCGUAAUAGCUCACUGGUCGAGAGUAUCUGCGCCGAAGAUUUAACGGGGCUAAGACAUAAACCGAAGCUAUGGAAACUAGAUUUAUAUCUAGUUUGGUAGGAGAGCGUUCUGUAAGCCGUAGAAGGUGUACUGUAAGGUAUAUUGGAGGUAUCAGAAGUGAGAAUGCAGGAAUGAGUAGCGAGAAAGAGAGUGAGAAUCUCUCUGGCCGAAAGUCCAAGGUUUCCAGAGGAAGGUUUGUCCGCUCUGGGGGAGUCGGGACCUAAGUCGAGGCUUAAAAGCGUAGGCGAAUGGAAAAUAGGUUAAUAUUCCUAUACCACUAUAUAAACGUUAUUAGAGAUGGAGUGACGCAGGAAGGUAUGUGAGAAGGGCGACGGUUGUCCCUUUCUAAGGAAGUAGUGUGAACAUGGAGGCAAAUCCACAUGUUUAAACAUGAGAUCUUAUGGGUAAGUAGCUUAGGCUAUAAGUCACAAAUCCUAUACUGCCGAGAAAAACUUCUAUUGAGAUUAUGUAGUGCCCGUACUGUAAACCGACACAGGUGGACUGGGUGAGUAACCCGAGGCCGACAGGAUAACUCUAGCUAAGGAACUCUGCAAAAUGGCCCCGUAACUUCGGGAGAAGGGGUACCUAUGUUAUGUGAUAAGAUAAACACUUUGAGCAGAAAUAGGUCGCAGUGAAGAGUCCCAAGCAACUGUUUACCAAAAACACAGGUCUAUGCUAAGCUGAAAGGCGACGUAUAUGGGCUGACACCUGCCCAGUGCUGGAAGGUUAAGAGGAGGAUUGAGAGAUUCGAAUUGAAGCCCCAGUGAACGGCGGCCGUAACUAUAACGGUCCUAAGGUAGCGAAAUUCCUUGUCGGGU
Molecule: ribosomal RNA, 1993 nt
Filed under: metagenome
Also listed under: 1 other name
Description: bacterial LSU rRNA
Rfam family: Bacterial large subunit ribosomal RNA
Source: RNAcentral